GAUAGUGGCAGUGAAUCUGAAGAUUAUACUAAAAUGAAGGAUUUGAGAUCUAAGAUCAGGAAAACUGGACCAGACGGCAAUAGAAAGUUGCUUUCCCAUACAUCAAUACCCAAGACGUCGCAACAUGCUGGAGCUAAUGUUCGCAACAUAAUUCGCCACAAACCAACUCUAAGCCGGACAUUUGUCUCACCAGCAAGCAAUAUCGUGAGAGGAAUUAAAUCCGGAGCUGGGACAGCUCAGACUGGACAAUUAUCACGAGAUAGAAGUUUCAGCAAUAGCAACAUAAGUACUCAAGGG
This 297-nucleotide long non-coding RNA is filed under the name Linum usitatissimum (flax). Its description in RNAcentral is "long non-coding RNA (LUSI_LNC000905)". The record is from RNAcentral. Lineage: Eukaryota; Viridiplantae; Streptophyta; Magnoliopsida; Malpighiales; Linaceae.